AUUGAACGCUGGCGGCAUGCCUUACACAUGCAAGUCGAACGGCAGCACGGGAGCAAUCCUGGUGGCGAGUGGCGAACGGGUGAGUAAUAUAUCGGAACGUGCCCAGUCGUGGGGAUAACGUAGCGAAAGCUACGCUAAUACCGCAUACGAUCUAUGGAUGAAAGCGGGGGGAUCGCAAGACCUCGCGCGAUUGGAGCGGCCGAUAUCAGAUUAGGUAGUUGGUGAGGUAAAGGCUCACCAAGCCGACGAUCUGUAGCUGGUCUGAGAGGACGACCAGCCACACUGGGACUGAGACACGGCCCAGACUCCUACGGGAGGCAGCAGUGGGGAAUUUUGGGACAAUGGGCGCAAGCCUGAUCCAGCAAUGCCGCGUGCAGGAUGAAGGCCUCGG
RNAcentral lists this ribosomal RNA (391 nucleotides) under uncultured bacterium. Its description in RNAcentral is "bacterial SSU rRNA". It matches the Rfam family "Bacterial small subunit ribosomal RNA", at positions 29 to 420 of the family's 1533-position model. The record is from RNAcentral.